AAGCAAAAGGGCAGGUGUUGUUUGACAAAGUAUGUGAGCAUCUUAACCUACUAGAAAGGGACUAUUUUGGCUUGUUGUUCCAAGACCACACAGAUCAGAAGAAUUGGCUUGAUUCUUCAAAAGAAAUCAAGAAGCAAGUUCAUAAUUUACCAUGGCAGUUCACCUUUAAUGUGAAGUUUUACCCACCUGACCCUUCACAAUUAACAGAAGAAAUCACCAGGUACUUUCUUUGUUUGCAGCUUCGUCAGGAUAUUGCUUCUGGACGUCUACCAUGUUCUUUUGUGACCCAUGCUCUACUUGGUUCAUAUACUUUACAAGCUGAGUUAGGUGACUUUGAUCCUGAGGAGCAUGAUAGUGGUUACAUACAGGAAUUCCAGUUUGCACCUAACCAGACAAAAGAGUUGGAGGAGAAAGUAGUAGAAUUACACAAGACACACAGGUGCGU
Protobothrops mucrosquamatus (brown spotted pit viper) is the source of this 445-nucleotide long non-coding RNA. RefSeq lists it as uncharacterized. The record is from RefSeq and is a predicted model, not a curated record. Lineage: Eukaryota; Metazoa; Chordata; Lepidosauria; Squamata; Viperidae. The transcript has 4 exons.